Molecule: unclassified non-coding RNA, 409 nt
Filed under: Hevea brasiliensis (rubber tree)
Lineage: Eukaryota; Viridiplantae; Streptophyta; Magnoliopsida; Malpighiales; Euphorbiaceae
Source: RNAcentral
UAUCAAUGGCAUCCAAGGACAGCUCCCCCGCCCAGUCCAUCACCCGAGCCCUAAAGGACUUCCGUCCCCCAACCCUCCCAGUCCCCGUCAACGGCAUCAACCCCAUCGCCGUCUCCGGCUCCUCCUACGUCCCCAACCCACCUCACUGGAAGAAGGCCGCCGAGGCCCUCAGCUGCAACCACUUCGACGAGGUCCACCGCAUGGUCACCCAGUUCACCACCCUCUCCACUGUCGAACUCCAGGGCACUACUCUCACAGUCGCCCAAGUCGCCGCCAUCGCCCGCCGCACUUCCGUUGCCGUUGCCCUUGACGAGCCUACGGCCAGGGCACGUGUCGAUCGCAGCGCCCGCUGGGUGUCCGACAACAUCGAGCGCGGCACUGACACCUACGGUGUCACCACCGGCUUCGG